RNAcentral lists this ribosomal RNA (482 nucleotides) under uncultured bacterium. Its description in RNAcentral is "partial 16S ribosomal RNA". It matches the Rfam family "Bacterial small subunit ribosomal RNA", at positions 28 to 523 of the family's 1533-position model. The record is from RNAcentral.
GACGAACGCUGGCGGCGUGCUUAACACAUGCAAGUCGAACGAUGAAACCUAGCUUGCUAGGUCGAUUAGUGGCGAACGGGUGAGUAACACGUGACUAACCUGCCCCUUUCUCUGGGAUAACGCUCCGAAAGGAAUGCUAAUACCGGAUACUCACACCGAGGCACAUGCCUUGGUGUGGAAAGUUUUUCGGAAAGGGAUGGAGUCGCGGCCUAUCAGCUUGUUGGUGAGGUAACGGCUCACCAAGGCGACGACGGGUAGCCGGCCUGAGAGGGCGACCGGCCACACUGGGACUGAGACACGGCCCAGACUCCUACGGGAGGCAGCAGUGGGGAAUAUUGCACAAUGGGCGCAAGACUGAUGCAGCGACGCCGCGUGAGGGAUGAAGGUCUUCGGAUUGUAAACCUCUUUCAGUAGGGACGAAGCGAAAGUGACGGUACCUAAAGAAGAAGCACCGGCUAACUACGUGCCAGCCGCCGCCGUAA